This 440-nucleotide ribosomal RNA is filed under the name uncultured bacterium. RNAcentral describes it as "partial 16S ribosomal RNA". It matches the Rfam family "Bacterial small subunit ribosomal RNA", at positions 338 to 795 of the family's 1533-position model. The record is from RNAcentral.
CCUACGGGAGGCAGCAGUGGGGAAUAUUGCACAAUGGGGGAAACCCUGAUGCCGCGACGCCGCGUGAGUGAAGAAGUAAUUCUUUAUGUAAAGCUCUAUCAGCAGGGAAGAAAAUGACGGUACCUGAGUACUCAUCCCCGGCUAACUACGUUCCAGCAGCCGCGGUAAUCCGUAGGGGGCAAGCGUUAUCCGGAUUUACUGGGUGGAAAGUGAGCGUAGACGGCAGUGCAAGUCUGGAGUGAAAGGCGGGGGCUCAACCCCCGGACUGCUCUGGAAACUGUACGGCUGGAGUGCAGGAGAGGUAAGUGGAAUUCCUAGUGUAGCGGUGAAAUGCGUAGAUAUUAGGAGGAAAACCAGUGGCGAAGGCGGCUGACUGGACUGUAACUGACGUUGAGGCUCGAAAGCGUGGGGAGCAAACAGGAUUAGAUACCCUGGUAGUC